Long non-coding RNA from Sapajus apella (tufted capuchin), 1038 nucleotides. RefSeq lists it as uncharacterized. The transcript has 2 exons. The record is from RefSeq and is a predicted model, not a curated record. NCBI's taxonomy places the organism in Eukaryota, Metazoa, Chordata, Mammalia, Primates, Cebidae.
CUGGGUAAUAAGAGCGAAACUCCAUCUCAAAAAAAAAAAAAAGGCAUCGAAAAUGUAAACUAUUUUUAGGUAGUUGGACUUAAGGUAACUAUCUUUUUCUGCAGGUCUCUAAAGUUCACCAACUUUGCCAACUGCCUUGACUUUCUCUCCCAGAUCUUCACAUUUAUUGAGCACCUGCUAUGUUCCUGGCACUGCUGAAUGCAGGGGUCAUAACUGACAUCCGUCUUGGCUCUGCCCAGAACAUUCAGAAUGCAGUGGCCUCCUGAAUGAGCUACCUCACUCACCUGGCUCUUCAAUUUGGUCUUGGAAAAAGGCCUCCGCCUCCUCUUCCUCACCAUCAGUGAGCAGCAGCAGCUCCUCAUGGGGCCAGUGGAGAUCCCCACUCUCUUCAUUCACCUCAGAGGCUCCCACCACAAUAGAUGGCAGAUGGGACUUUUGAGAGAAAACCUGAAUAGGGACAGCAGGGAGGUUGGCCCAAAUUGGAGGGUAAGCCAGCUGUCAGACACAAGGUGGGGAAGUACUAACCUGAAUAUCCUGGUGACCUUCAGCCUUGCCAAUCUCUCCUCUGUCCCCGAGACGGUUGGGCAGCCUGGGACUUUCUGGAUGCUGGGGGGAGCCUAGGCUAUUUCUAUUCCAAAGCCCAUCCUCCUCGCUGCUCCCUGGCACAAGGGCCAUGGUGGUGAUUCUUAGGAGUGCAAGAUGAUUGAACUCAGAGGAGAGUACUCCUUGCCCAGUGCACCCCACAAACUGUUCCUCUAAUCUUCUUUGGAGCCUGGCUCCUUAAGCACUGACGUGCUAGGCGAUUAUGGGCUUCCUGGGGAGGGGAAAAUGCCUAAGAAGUGAGAUAGGAUCUUUAUUUCUACUUACUCCAUGGAGACACUGGGAUGGCAGCAAGGGUAGGAGACAAGGGCACCUGGAUUAAAGCCCUAUGAGCCGAGAGUUUUGAUAACAACUUGGAAUUUCCUGACUCCUUUGCUUACUGAUUUUCCCAAGCUGGCAUGUUUAUAUGUUAUUUAAUGAAUAUUUUCAUGGUGUUUA